Rattus norvegicus (Norway rat) is the source of this 159-nucleotide non-coding RNA. Lineage: Eukaryota; Metazoa; Chordata; Mammalia; Rodentia; Muridae. The record is from Rfam.
CCGAGCACAUGGACCCGCUGGUCAAGCGGGUUGUACAAGGCCAGAAUGAAGAGAAGCUGCGAGUCAGUAUGGAACUCAGAGGUCCCCGAGUGGAUAUCCACGUGGAAAGGAUGUUGGCAGCCCGGGUGACCUCGGAGUCACGGCUGGAUCCACCCUCCC